This 508-nucleotide ribosomal RNA is filed under the name uncultured bacterium. Its description in RNAcentral is "bacterial SSU rRNA". It matches the Rfam family "Bacterial small subunit ribosomal RNA", at positions 222 to 747 of the family's 1533-position model. The record is from RNAcentral.
AAGAUGGACCCGCGUCUGAUUAGCUUGUUGGUGAGGUAACGGCCCACCAAGGCGACGAUCAGUAGCCGGCCUGAGAGGGUGAACGGCCACAUUGGGACUGAGACACGGCCCAAACUCCUACGGGAGGCAGCAGUGGGGAAUAUUGCACAAUGGGGGAAACCCUGAUGCAGCGACGCCGCGUGAGUGAUGAAGUAUUUCGGUAUGUAAAACUCUAUCAGCAGGGAAGAUAAUGACGGUACCUGACUAAGAAGCACCGGCUAAAUACGUGCCAGCAGCCGCGGUAAUACGUAUGGUGCAAGCGUUAUCCGGAUUUACUGGGUGUAAAGGGUGCGUAGGUGGUGAGACAAGUCUGAAGUGAAAAUCCGGGGCUUAACCCCGGAACUGCUUUGGAAACUGCCUGACUAGAGUACAGGAGAGGUAAGUGGAAUUCCUAGUGUAGCGGUGAAAUGCGUAGAUAUUAGGAGGAACACCAGUGGCGAAGGCGACUUACUGGACUGCUACUGACACU